ACGGGAGGCAGCAGUGGGGAAUAUUGCACAAUGGGGGAAACCCUGAUGCAGCAACGCCGCGUGAGUGAAGAAGUAUUUCGGUAUGUAAAGCUCUAUCAGCAGGGAAGAACAAUGACGGUACCUGACUAAGAAGCACCGGCUAAAUACGUGCCAGCAGCCGCGGUAAUACGUAUGGUGCAAGCGUUAUCCGGAUUUACUGGGUGUAAAGGGAGCGCAAGCGGUACGGCAAGUCUGAUGUGAAAGCCCGGGGCUCAACCCCGGUACUGCAUUGGAAACUGUCGAACUAGAGUGUCGGAGGGGUAAGUGGAAUUCCUAGUGUAGCGGUGAAAUGCGUAGAUAUUAGGAGGAACACCAGUGGCGAAGGCGGCUUUCUGGACCGUAACUGACGCUGAGGCACGAAAGCGUGGGGAGCAAACAGGAUUAGAUACCCUGGUA
Molecule: ribosomal RNA, 435 nt
Filed under: uncultured Roseburia sp.
Lineage: Bacteria; Bacillati; Bacillota; Clostridia; Lachnospirales; Lachnospiraceae
Description: partial 16S ribosomal RNA
Rfam family: Bacterial small subunit ribosomal RNA
Source: RNAcentral